GUCCACGCCCUAAACGAUGUCAACUAGGUGUUGGGAGGGUAAAACCUUUUAGUACCGGAGCUAACGCGUGAAGUUGACCGCCUGGGGAGUACGGCCGCAAGGUUAAAACUCAAAGGAAUUGACGGGGACCCGGCACAAGCGGUGGAUGAUGUGGAUUAAUUCGAUGCAACGCGAAAAACCUUAACCUACCCUUGACAUGUCAGGAAGUCUUGAGAGAUUGAGAUGUGCCCGAAAGGGAACCUGAACACAGGUGCUGCAUGGCUGUCGU
This 268-nucleotide ribosomal RNA is filed under the name uncultured bacterium. RNAcentral describes it as "partial 16S ribosomal RNA". It matches the Rfam family "Bacterial small subunit ribosomal RNA", at positions 793 to 1055 of the family's 1533-position model. The record is from RNAcentral.